CAGACCCAUGCAGGAGACCUCUCCAGGUACACAUAUUUCCUGCUGCUCAAUGGCUUAGACUGGGAUUUGCAAGGAAGUACGAAGUCCAAGACCUUUGCCUUUCUUUUAGAAGAAGGCACCAGCUGGUUCUCCAAUGUUGAAGGUCUUCUCCAGAGAUGAACUCUGAAAGCCACAUGUUGAGAUGGCCCCAUUACAGGAUGGAGAGCACCUGAACCCCCAAGUUAUGGACAAGAAGAAGACAGUUGCCUUGGAAAAUCAUCUGACCCACAUUGGACUUUACGUGAGGGGGAAAUAAACCUUUAUUAUGUUAAGCUACACAAUAAUAAAUAACAACAAUAAUUGUGUUUAUUUGUUA
Molecule: long non-coding RNA, 355 nt
Filed under: Pan troglodytes (chimpanzee)
Lineage: Eukaryota; Metazoa; Chordata; Mammalia; Primates; Hominidae
Description: lincRNA
Source: RNAcentral